AAUUACUCCGAGCCUAAUAUCUAGCCCCCCACCAAAUAUACUCACCACCUAUUUAACUUCAAAAAUUAAAACAUUUUACCAAUUUAGUAGAGGCGAUCAAAAAAUUUUAAGGAGCUAUACAUACAGUACCGCAAGGGAAAGAUGAAAUAAUAAUGAAAUAAUCCCAAGCACAAAAAAGUAGAGAUUCUCCCUCGUACCUUUUGCAUCAUGGUUUAACUAGUCUAAUCAAGCAAAACGACCUUUAGUUUGACUUCCCGAAACUAUGCGAGCUACUUCAAGGCAGCCUCAUGGGCAAACCCGUCUCUGUUGCAAAAGAGUGGGAAGACCUUCAAGUAGCGGUGACAGACCUAACGAGCCUAGUGAUAGCUGGUUACUCAAAAAAAGAAUAUUAGUUCAGCCUAAAGUUACACCCAUAUAAAAAAAUUAAAACUUGACUUUAGAGUAAUUCAAAUAAGGUACAGCCUAUUUGAAUCAGGACACAAUCUCAUCUGACGGGUAAAUUCAUUUACUAACCUUUAAUCAAGUGGGCCUAAGAGCAGCCACCUUUCAAAUAGCGUCAAAGCUUUAUUAAACAGAUCUCUAAUCCCCCAAUUCACCAACAACCCUCCAACCUUAUUGAGUAAUUCUAUACUUCUAUAGAAAUUUUUAUGUUAAAACUAGUAACAAGAAGAAGACCUUCUCUUUAAUGCAAACUUAAAUCAGAAAGGACACCCCGCUGAUAAUUAACGUUUUUGACUUAAAAGUAGUAACUCUAACAAGAAAACCCUACUCUUCCCCACGUUAACCUCACACAAGAGCAUUACAAGAAAAAUUAAAAGAAAAAGAAGGAACUCGGCAAAUAUUUAACCUCGCCUGUUUACCAAAAACAUCGCCUCUUGAGAAAUAUAAGAGGUCCAGCCUGCCCAGUGACUUUGUUCAACGGCCGCGGUAUCCUAACCGUGCGAAGGUAGCGUAAUCACUUGUUCUUUAAAUGAGGACUAGUAUGAAAGGCAUCACGAGGGUUAUACUGUCUCCUUUUUCCAAUUAGUGAAACUAAUCUUCCCGUGAAGAAGCGGGAAUCAUUAUAUAAGACGAGAAGACCCUAUGGAGCUUAAAAUAAUAUAACAAUUGCUAUCAUUAUAAAAUCUUACCCACUAUGCUCAGCAAUAUGAUUAUUAAUUUUUGGUUGGGGUGACCGCGGAGUAUAAAAUAACCUCCACAUUGAAAGGAUCCCACUCCUAAGCUAAAAGUAACAACUUUAUGCAUCAACAAAUUGACAUUAAUUGACCCAAUAUAUUGAUCAACGAACCAAGUUACCCUAGGGAUAACAGCGCAAUCUACUUUGAGAGCCCAUAUCGACAAGUAGGUUUACGACCUCGAUGUUGGAUCAGGGUAUCCCAGUGGUGCAGCCGCUACUAAUGNNNNNNNNNNNNNNNNNNNNNNNNNN
This 1426-nucleotide ribosomal RNA is filed under the name Thoropa saxatilis. Its description in RNAcentral is "16S ribosomal RNA". It matches the Rfam family "Bacterial large subunit ribosomal RNA", at positions 181 to 2587 of the family's 2925-position model. The record is from RNAcentral. Lineage: Eukaryota; Metazoa; Chordata; Amphibia; Anura; Cycloramphidae.